AGUGAGGAAUAUUGGUCAAUGGACGAGAGUCUGAACCAGCCAUGCCGCGUGAAGGAUGAAGGCGUUCUGCGUUGUAAACUUCUUUUAUCUGGGAAGAAACCUUCUUUUUCUAAGGAAGCCGACGGUACCAGAGGAAUAAGCACCGGCUAACUCCGUGCCAGCAGCCGCGGUAAUACGGAGGGUGCAAGCGUUAUCCGGAUUUACUGGGUUUAAAGGGUGUGUAGGCGGACUUUUAAGUCAGCGGUGAAAUCUCCGGGCUCAACCCGGAAACUGCCAUUGAUACUAUUAGUCUUGAAUAUUGUUGAGGUAGGCGGAACGGGUCAUGUAGCGGUGAAAUGCAUAGAUAUGACCCGGAACACCGAUUGCGAAGGCAGCCUACUAAGCAAUUAUUGACGCUGAGGCACGAAAGCGUGGGGAUCAAA
RNAcentral lists this ribosomal RNA (422 nucleotides) under uncultured bacterium. RNAcentral's name for it is "bacterial SSU rRNA". It matches the Rfam family "Bacterial small subunit ribosomal RNA", at positions 353 to 772 of the family's 1533-position model. The record is from RNAcentral.